AGCGAACGCUGGCGGCGUACUUAACACAUGCAAGUCGAACGAGGAUCACCGGGUUAGCAAUAAUUCGGUGGUCCUAGUGGCGCACGGGUGAGUAACACGUGGGUGACCUGCCCUUGAGCUCGGGAUACCCCCUCGAAAGGGGGGCUAAUACCGGAUACGUUCCUCGGUCGAAAGACUGAGGAGGAAAGGUGGCGCAAGCUGCCGCUCUUGGAGGGGCUCGCGGCCUAUCAGCUAGUUGGCGGGGUAACGGCCCACCAAGGCUAUGACGGGUAGCUGGUCUGAGAGGACGACCAGCCACACGGGGACUGAGACACGGCCCCGACUCCUACGGGAGGCAGCAGUGGGGAAUUUUCCGCAAUGGGCGAAAGCCUGACGGAGUGACGCCGCGUGUGGGACGAAGGCCUUC
This 406-nucleotide ribosomal RNA is filed under the name uncultured bacterium. RNAcentral describes it as "bacterial SSU rRNA". It matches the Rfam family "Bacterial small subunit ribosomal RNA", at positions 28 to 419 of the family's 1533-position model. The record is from RNAcentral.